RNAcentral lists this transfer RNA (66 nucleotides) under Eleotris amblyopsis (large-scaled spinycheek sleeper). Its description in RNAcentral is "tRNA-Cys". Lineage: Eukaryota; Metazoa; Chordata; Actinopteri; Gobiiformes; Eleotridae. The record is from RNAcentral.
AGCCUUGAGGUGUAACACAUAUUAGAUUGCAAAUCUUAAGUAGCAGGGUAACGCCUGCCGGGGCUU